This 506-nucleotide ribosomal RNA is filed under the name uncultured bacterium. RNAcentral's name for it is "bacterial SSU rRNA". It matches the Rfam family "Bacterial small subunit ribosomal RNA", at positions 28 to 521 of the family's 1533-position model. The record is from RNAcentral.
GAUGAACGCUAGCUACAGGCUUAACACAUGCAAGUCGAGGGGCAGCAUGACGAUAGCUUGCUAUUGUUGAUGGCGACCGGCGCACGGGUGAGUAACGCGUAUCCAACCUUCCCGUUGCUAGGGGAUAACCUUGCGAAAGUAAGACUAAUACCCAAUGAUAUCUCUAGAAGACAUCUGAAAGGGAUUAAAGAUUUAUCGGUGAUGGAUGGGGAUGCGUCUGAUUAGCUUGUUGGCGGGGUAACGGCCCACCAAGGCAACGAUCAGUAGGGGUUCUGAGAGGAAGGUCCCCCACAUUGGAACUGAGACACGGUCCAAACUCCUACGGGAGGCAGCAGUGAGGAAUAUUGGUCAAUGGGGCGCAGGCCUGAACCAGCCAAGUCGCGUGAGGGAGGACGGUCCUACGGAUUGUAAACCUCUUUUGUCGGGGAGUAACGUGCGGGACGCGUCCCGUAUUGAGAGUACCCGAAGAAAAACGCAUCGGCUAACUCCGUGCCAGCAGCCGCGGU